This 72-nucleotide transfer RNA is filed under the name Planctomycetaceae bacterium. Its description in RNAcentral is "tRNA-Arg". It matches the Rfam family "tRNA". Rfam says of the family: Transfer RNA (tRNA) molecules are approximately 80 nucleotides in length. Their secondary structure includes four short double-helical elements and three loops (D, anti-codon, and T loops). Lineage: Bacteria; Pseudomonadati; Planctomycetota; Planctomycetia; Planctomycetales; Planctomycetaceae. The record is from RNAcentral.
GGCCUGCGAGUGUGCUGGAUUGCACGGCAGACUUCGAAUCUGCAAGACGGGGUUCGAUUCCUCGGCGGGCUA